UAUGGUCCUCUUGCUUUUAACAUCUA
Molecule: unclassified non-coding RNA, 26 nt
Filed under: Mus musculus (house mouse)
Lineage: Eukaryota; Metazoa; Chordata; Mammalia; Rodentia; Muridae
Description: oocyte_clustered_small_RNA7155
Source: RNAcentral